This 492-nucleotide ribosomal RNA is filed under the name uncultured bacterium. RNAcentral's name for it is "bacterial SSU rRNA". It matches the Rfam family "Bacterial small subunit ribosomal RNA", at positions 903 to 1397 of the family's 1533-position model. The record is from RNAcentral.
AAAUGAAUAGACGGGGGCCCGCACAAGCGGAGGAGCAUGUGGUUUAAUUCGAUGAUACGCGAGGAACCUUACCCGGGCUUGAACGUAAGACGAAUAAUCAGGAAACUGGUUAGCCUACGGGCGUCUUGCGAGGUGCUGCAUGGUUGUCGUCAGCUCGUGCCGUGAGGUGUUAGGUUAAGUCCUGCAACGAGCGCAACCCUUACCUUCAGUUACCAGCACGUCAAGGUGGGCACUCUGAAGGAACUGCCUACGCAAGUAGAGAGGAAGGUGGGGAUGACGUCAAAUCAGCACGGCCCUUAUGUUCGGGGCUACACACGUGCUACAAUGGUAUGUACAGAGGGCAGCCACCCUGUGAGGGGGAGCCAAUCCUCAAAGCAUAUCUCAGUUCGGAUUGGAGUCUGUAACUCGACUCUAUGAAGUUGGAUUCGCUAGUAAUCGCGCAUCAGCCAUGGCGCGGUGAAUACGUUCCCGGGCCUUGUACACACCGCCCGU